CCUACGUGAGGCAGCAGUAGGGAAUCUUCCACAAUGGGCGAAAGCCUGAUGGAGCAACGCCGCGUGGGUGAAGAAGGUCUUAGGAACGUAAAACCCUGUUGUUAGAGAAGAAAGUGCGUGAGAGGAACUGUUCACGUUUCGACGGUAUCUAACCAGAAAGCCACGGCUAACUACGUGCCAGCAGCCGCGGGACUACGUAGGUGGCAAGCGUUAUCCGGAUUUAUUGGGCGUAAAGGGAACGCAGGCGGUCUUAUAAGUCUGAUGUGAAAGUCUUCGGCUUAACCGGAGUAGUGCAUUAGAAACUGGGAGACUUGAGUGCAGAAGAGGAGAGUGGAACUCCAUGUGUAGCGGUGAAAUGCGUAGAUAUAUGGAAGAACACCAGUGGCGAAAGCGGCUCUCUGGUCUGUAACUGACGCUGAGGUUCGAAAGCGUGGGUAGCAAACAGGAUUAGAUACCCCAGUAGUC
This 465-nucleotide ribosomal RNA is filed under the name uncultured bacterium. Its description in RNAcentral is "partial 16S ribosomal RNA". It matches the Rfam family "Bacterial small subunit ribosomal RNA", at positions 338 to 795 of the family's 1533-position model. The record is from RNAcentral.